GGGUUGUGAGGUUAAGCGACUAAGCGUACACGGUGGAUGCCCUGGCAGUCAGAGGCGAUGAAGGACGUGCUAAUCUGCGAUAAGCGUCGGUAAGGUGAUAUGAACCGUUAUAACCGGCGAUUUCCGAAUGGGGAAACCCAGUGUGAUUCGUCACACUAUCAUUAACUGAAUCCAUAGGUUAAUGAGGCGAACCGGGGGAACUGAAACAUCUAAGUACCCCGAGGAAAAGAAAUCAACCGAGAUUCCCCAGUAGCGGCGAGCGAACGGGGAGGAGCCCAGAGCCUGAAUCAGUGUGUGUGUUAGUGGAAGCGUCUGGAAAGGCGCGCGAUACAGGGUGACAGCCCCGUACACAAAAAUGCACAUGCUGUGAGCUCGAUGAGUAGGGCGGGACACGUGGUAUCCUGUCUGAAUAUGGGGGGACCAUCCUCCAAGGCUAAAUACUCCUGACUGACCGAUAGUGAACCAGUACCGUGAGGGAAAGGCGAAAAGAACCCCGGCGAGGGGAGUGAAAAAGAACCUGAAACCGUGUACGUACAAGCAGUGGGAGCACGCUUAGGCGUGUGACUGCGUACCUUUUGUAUAAUGGGUCAGCGACUUAUAUUCUGUAGCAAGGUUAACCGAAUAGGGGAGCCGAAGGGAAACCGAGUCUUAACUGGGCGUUAAGUUGCAGGGUAUAGACCCGAAACCCGGUGAUCUAGCCAUGGGCAGGUUGAAGGUUGGGUAACACUAACUGGAGGACCGAACCGACUAAUGUUGAAAAAUUAGCGGAUGACUUGUGGCUGGGGGUGAAAGGCCAAUCAAACCGGGAGAUAGCUGGUUCUCCCCGAAAGCUAUUUAGGUAGCGCCUCGUGAAUUCAUCUCCGGGGGUAGAGCACUGUUUCGGCAAGGGGGUCAUCCCGACUUACCAACCCGAUGCAAACUGCGAAUACCGGAGAAUGUUAUCACGGGAGACACACGGCGGGUGCUAACGUCCGUCGUGAAGAGGGAAACAACCCAGACCGCCAGCUAAGGUCCCAAAGUCAUGGUUAAGUGGGAAACGAUGUGGGAAGGCCCAGACAGCCAGGAUGUUGGCUUAGAAGCAGCCAUCAUUUAAAGAAAGCGUAAUAGCUCACUGGUCGAGUCGGCCUGCGCGGAAGAUGUAACGGGGCUAAACCAUGCACCGAAGCUGCGGCAGCGACGCUUAUGCGUUGUUGGGUAGGGGAGCGUUCUGUAAGCCUGUGAAGGUGUGCUGUGAGGCAUGCUGGAGGUAUCAGAAGUGCGAAUGCUGACAUAAGUAACGAUAAAGCGGGUGAAAAGCCCGCUCGCCGGAAGACCAAGGGUUCCUGUCCAACGUUAAUCGGGGCAGGGUGAGUCGACCCCUAAGGCGAGGCCGAAAGGCGUAGUCGAUGGGAAACAGGUUAAUAUUCCUGUACUUGGUGUUACUGCGAAGGGGGGACGGAGAAGGCUAUGUUGGCCGGGCGACGGUUGUCCCGGUUUAAGCGUGUAGGCUGGUUUUCCAGGCAAAUCCGGAAAAUCAAGGCUGAGGCGUGAUGACGAGGCACUACGGUGCUGAAGCAACAAAUGCCCUGCUUCCAGGAAAAGCCUCUAAGCAUCAGGUAACAUCAAAUCGUACCCCAAACCGACACAGGUGGUCAGGUAGAGAAUACCAAGGCGCUUGAGAGAACUCGGGUGAAGGAACUAGGCAAAAUGGUGCCGUAACUUCGGGAGAAGGCACGCUGAUAUGUAGGUGAAGCGACUUGCUCGUGGAGCUGAAAUCAGUCGAAGAUACCAGCUGGCUGCAACUGUUUAUUAAAAACACAGCACUGUGCAAACACGAAAGUGGACGUAUACGGUGUGACGCCUGCCCGGUGCCGGAAGGUUAAUUGAUGGGGUCAGCGCAAGCGAAGCUCUUGAUCGAAGCCCCGGUAAACGGCGGCCGUAACUAUAACGGUCCUAAGGUAGCGAAAUUCCUUGUCGGGUAAGUUCCGACCUGCACGAAUGGCGUAAUGAUGGCCAGGCUGUCUCCACCCGAGACUCAGUGAAAUUGAACUCGCUGUGAAGAUGCAGUGUACCCGCGGCAAGACGGAAAGACCCCGUGAACCUUUACUAUAGCUUGACACUGAACAUUGAGCCUUGAUGUGUAGGAUAGGUGGGAGGCUUUGAAGUGUGGACGCCAGUCUGCAUGGAGCCGACCUUGAAAUACCACCCUUUAAUGUUUGAUGUUCUAACGUUGACCCGUAAUCCGGGUUGCGGACAGUGUCUGGUGGGUAGUUUGACUGGGGCGGUCUCCUCCUAAAGAGUAACGGAGGAGCACGAAGGUUGGCUAAUCCUGGUCGGACAUCAGGAGGUUAGUGCAAUGGCAUAAGCCAGCUUGACUGCGAGCGUGACGGCGCGAGCAGGUGCGAAAGCAGGUCAUAGUGAUCCGGUGGUUCUGAAUGGAAGGGCCAUCGCUCAACGGAUAAAAGGUACUCCGGGGAUAACAGGCUGAUACCGCCCAAGAGUUCAUAUCGACGGCGGUGUUUGGCACCUCGAUGUCGGCUCAUCACAUCCUGGGGCUGAAGUAGGUCCCAAGGGUAUGGCUGUUCGCCAUUUAAAGUGGUACGCGAGCUGGGUUUAGAACGUCGUGAGACAGUUCGGUCCCUAUCUGCCGUGGGCGCUGGAGAACUGAGGGGGGCUGCUCCUAGUACGAGAGGACCGGAGUGGACGCAUCACUGGUGUUCGGGUUGUCAUGCCAAUGGCACUGCCCGGUAGCUAAAUGCGGAAGAGAUAAGUGCUGAAAGCAUCUAAGCACGAAACUUGCCCCGAGAUGAGUUCUCCCUGACUCCUUGAGAGUCCUGAAGGAACGUUGAAGACGACGACGUUGAUAGGCCGGGUGUGUAAGCGCAGCGAUGCGUUGAGCUAACCGGUACUAAUGAACCGUGAGGCUUAACCUUACAACGCCGAAGGUGUUU
RNAcentral lists this ribosomal RNA (2930 nucleotides) under Escherichia coli. RNAcentral describes it as "bacterial LSU rRNA". It matches the Rfam family "Bacterial large subunit ribosomal RNA". The record is from RNAcentral. Lineage: Bacteria; Pseudomonadati; Pseudomonadota; Gammaproteobacteria; Enterobacterales; Enterobacteriaceae.